GACGAACGCUGGCGGCGUGCUUAACACAUGCAAGUCGAACGGAAAGGCCCUGCUUUUGUGGGGUGCUCGAGUGGCGAACGGGUGAGUAACACGUGAGUAACCUGCCCUUGACUUUGGGAUAACUUCAGGAAACUGGGGCUAAUACCGGAUAGGAGCUCCUGCUGCAUGGUGGGGGUUGGAAAGUUUCGGCGGUUGGGGAUGGACUCGCGGCUUAUCAGCUUGUUGGUGGGGUAGUGGCUUACCAAGGCUUUGACGGGUAGCCGGCCUGAGAGGGUGACCGGGCAGAGUGGCGAGGGGGUGCGGCCCAGGGGCAGGGGGGGGGCAGGAGGGGGGGAGAGGCGACGAGGGGGGGGAGCGUGGUGACGCAGGGGGGGUGGGGGGAUCGUGGCCCUGGGGUUGGAACCCGGGUCGGGGGGUGGAGAAGGGGGAGGGCGGGAGGGGAGUAACGAAGCACCGGCUAACGACGGGACAGAAGACGAGGUAAAAAGCGGAGUAGCACACGUCUGAAC
RNAcentral lists this ribosomal RNA (509 nucleotides) under uncultured bacterium. RNAcentral's name for it is "partial 16S ribosomal RNA". The stretch from base 20 to 329 matches the Rfam family "Bacterial small subunit ribosomal RNA", at positions 47 to 358 of the family's 1533-position model. The record is from RNAcentral.